RNAcentral lists this long non-coding RNA (1849 nucleotides) under Xyrichtys novacula (pearly razorfish). The record is from RNAcentral. Lineage: Eukaryota; Metazoa; Chordata; Actinopteri; Labriformes; Labridae.
UUGUAAAGUUUCCCUUUAGGUGACAAAGCGAGGCUGAAGCAGUGGCUGGUGAACACAAGACGGCAGGACUGGAAACCAACAGGAUCAUCAUGUCUUUGCAGUGCUCAUUUUGAAGAGCAUGCCUUUACUGUGGACUCAAAGGUUGAAGUAUUUCUUUUUUAAUGGACAGCAAUUUUUAUGAAGUUCACAUUUGCAACAAUUUAUUGUUAAAUUGACUAACACUUUGAAUCAUAAAAUGGCGGUUAUUUAAACAUUCCCAAGAGCUGAACGCUACAACUAUCGUGGUUCCAUUUUAAAUUACUGCUGUUUUUAUGUUUUUCUCUAGGGUAAGCGUUGCCUCAAACAGGACUGAAUCAUCAACUGAAGACUGAAGAUACCUGUACUUUCCUGAUCCUACUGAAAUCUCUGGAUGCUGCAUGUUGUGAUUUACAGUCCGCAUAAACAGGACUGAAUCAUCAACAGAAGAUGCCUGGACUCAGCUGAUCUUCCUGUCAUCUGUUUUACCACCGUUUAAGGAUUGACAGUCCGCAUAAACAGGACUGAAUCAUUUUAAACCCAAAUUCAAUUGUGUCAGAAACAAAGUAUGCAAAGACCCCUUUACUGCAGUCCUGCUAUGUAAAUUAGUUUGAGCAGUAUUUCUUUUGCACUUUACAAAGGUUUUAGCAUGUUUGUUCUAUAAAGUCUAAAGUUCAUGUUAAAGUUUAGGAAAGUAUAUCAAAAGAAACAAAAAAAAAUGUUAAGAUUAUUGUGUAAAAUCCUUUUUUUAUGACCCCAUAUAUUAAAGAAUGAGAACUUUGUUCAAUGUAGAGUUAUUUAAGUUAAAUGAUUGUUAGAGUUUAAAACAAAUCAAAAAAUGAUUCAAAAUAAAAUAGUGUGGAUUUGUUAAAAUGCUGAGUUCAGUAUUGUUUGUGAUAUUUAUGUAAAUAGAAAAACUCAAAAAGCAAGAAGUUAACAAAAAGCACAAAAUUUAAAAAAAAAGUUUCAUUAAGAGUUAAAAAUGUUCUUGUGUAAUGUAAAUACAACAUAUCAAUGUAUGUUUUCUAUGUGUGGUGUUGCAUUCAGAGUUCUUCAAUUUUCUAAACUUUUGUAUUAUAUUUCAAUGUUUGUAUUGUAUAUUUGAAUGUUUGUUGUGUUAGAAUUUGUCUUGUUCGCCAAGUUUGUCUUGUCCUGUGGACCCACUCGUGGCCUGCACCUUGGUGUGGUGAGUGUGCUUUCAACUAAGAUGGGCCUUCUGUGUUACAUGCAUUAAAGCCACAUCAGAAACAAGAUCAGAACAAAAGUAUUUUAGCAGUAAGGAAAUAGAUUGUGAAGACAAAGUCAAGACAGAAAUGAGAAAAGAGUGAGAUUUAAAUGUCAUUAAAUUUAGGAAUUUGCAUGUAGUUGUAGUGUCUGCUACCACCUACUGGUCAUUAUUAGUUAGUGUCAUCAGUCAUUUUCAGUUUAAGUUGUUGCAGCCUGGAGUAAAAAAAAAAACAGGAAUCAUGUUGCAAAAAAAAUUUGAGUGAUACCACAUGAACAACUUCUUAUGCUUAGACCAAAUGUGCCCUGUUAGAUAAAGGUAACAGCACUAGCCAAGUAGUAGUCUCUAAGAAUGCUAACUAAAUGAAACCUUUUAAAUAAUUGGACAAGUAUAUCAAAACCUCUAAAGUUUUCAUGCUGAGCUACCACCUGGUUUGAGACAUAAGUGUCAAUGAAUUUAAGUACUGAUAUUCACAAUUUAAUUGAUGAAUUUCUUUGUGUUUUUCCAGAAGCUACCCUCAGAUUCAGACUUCAUCACCAACCACUGAUGAUAUGGUGGAUUCAUCUGCUGCAGCCUGUUUCCUUUUCACCCAAUGCAACUCCCAAAGUA